Molecule: long non-coding RNA, 815 nt
Filed under: Physcomitrium patens
Lineage: Eukaryota; Viridiplantae; Streptophyta; Bryopsida; Funariales; Funariaceae
Description: long non-coding RNA (PPAT_LNC012040)
Source: RNAcentral
GGUUAGGGGUAGGGAUUUUUGGCAUCAAGGUUUUUUUAAUUUUGGAAAAAGGAAGAAUUGGGGGCUGAGAUUGAAAGGAGGAAAACGGGAGGUUGUUAAAGUUUUUUAGAAAAGACAAGAUUCAAGAUUGGUUUAAGGUUUUGAAGCCACUUGCAAUUUUUUUUUUUUUCUAAAAUUUUGAAUGAAGUUAGAUUAUGAUUUUAGCUUUUUAACAAGCUAUAGUACAAAAAAAUAGAGCUAUGAGGAGGGAGAACCAUGCGAAUUUGUAAAAAAGAGGUCGUUGGAGUUUGCCAGUAGUGAAAUUCAAGACUAUUAGGAAUUUCUUUGCUAUUUUUUGUAUUUUUUUUUCUUAUUUUAAAAUUUUCAAAAAAGCUAGAUUUUGUUGCUAGCUUUCCAACAAGCUAUUUCAUGCACGAAAUAGAGCUAUGAAGAAGGAGAUCUAAGCAGAUUUGUGAGAGGGGGGUCGUUGGAGUUUUUUAAGUGGUAAGAUUAAGUUUAGUUUGAGGUUUCUUAUUGUAUUUUUUGAAUUUUCUUCUUUUUAUUCUGAAAAUUUGAAAAAAGCUUUAUCUUGUUGUUAGCUUUUCAAAAUUUAUUUUAUGCAAGAAGAAGAGCUUUGAUGAGGGAGAUUCACAUAGAUUUGCCGGAAAGAAUUUGCUGGAGUUUUUGGAUGGUGGAAUUCAAGAUUGGUUUGGAUCUUUCUAUGCUAAUUAUUGGAUUUUCUUCUUUUUAUUCUGAAAAUUUGGAAGUAGCUAGAAUUCAUUGUUAGCUUUUCAACAAGUCUUAGCAGAAGAAGAGUUGUGUUGAAGGAGAUCCAA